GGCGGACGGGUGAGUAACACGUAAGGAACCUGCCUCAAGGAUUGGGAUAACUCCGAGAAAUCGGAGCUAAUACCGGAUAGUUCAACGGACCGCAUGGUCCGCUGAUGAAAGGCGCUCCGGCGUCACCUUGAGAUGGCCUUGCGGUGCAUUAGCUAGUUGGUGGGGUAACGGCCCACCAAGGCGACGAUGCAUAGCCGACCUGAGAGGGUGAUCGGCCACU
Molecule: ribosomal RNA, 220 nt
Filed under: Exiguobacterium sp.
Lineage: Bacteria; Bacillati; Bacillota; Bacilli; Caryophanales
Description: partial 16S ribosomal RNA
Rfam family: Bacterial small subunit ribosomal RNA
Source: RNAcentral